Sarcophilus harrisii (Tasmanian devil) is the source of this 225-nucleotide small nuclear RNA. Its record names the gene U2. It matches the Rfam family "U2 spliceosomal RNA". From Rfam's summary of the family: U2 is a small nuclear RNA (snRNA) component of the spliceosome (involved in pre-mRNA splicing). The record is from Ensembl. Lineage: Eukaryota; Metazoa; Chordata; Mammalia; Dasyuromorphia; Dasyuridae.
UAAGCUUCUUGGCCUUUUGACUAAAAUCAAAUGUAGUAUAUUUUGUUAUCAAUUUAAUAUCUGAUAUGUCCUCUAUUUGAAAGAGGCAGCUAGGUAGCACAAUGGGUAGAGCACAAGGUUUGAAAUCACGAAAAUUCAUUUUCCUGAGCUCUAAAUUUAAUUUCAGACAUUUAUUAGCUGUGUCCUUCUAGGCAAAUCACUUCCCCCUGUUUGCUCCCAAUUUUC